GACGAACGCUGGCGGCGUGCUUAACACAUGCAAGUCGAACGGAAAGGCCCUGCUUUGUGGGGUGCUCGAGUGGCGAACGGGUGAGUAACACGUGAGUAACCUGCCCUUGACUUUGGGAUAACUUCAGGAAACUGGGGCUAAUACCGGAUAGGAGCUCCUGCUGCAUGGUGGGUGGAAGUUCGGCGGUUGGGAUGGACUCGCGGCUUAUCAGCUUGUUGGUGGGGUAGUGGCUUACCAAGGCUUUGACGGGUAGCCGGCCUGAGAGGGUGACCGGCCACAUUGGGACUGAGAUACGGCCCAG
RNAcentral lists this ribosomal RNA (301 nucleotides) under uncultured bacterium. Its description in RNAcentral is "bacterial SSU rRNA". It matches the Rfam family "Bacterial small subunit ribosomal RNA", at positions 28 to 334 of the family's 1533-position model. The record is from RNAcentral.